Molecule: non-coding RNA, 45 nt
Filed under: Trichobilharzia regenti
Lineage: Eukaryota; Metazoa; Platyhelminthes; Trematoda; Strigeidida; Schistosomatidae
Source: RNAcentral
AUCCAGAUGACGAGUCCCAAAUAGAGCGAAAUGCGUAUUCUGGAU